RNAcentral lists this ribosomal RNA (408 nucleotides) under uncultured bacterium. Its description in RNAcentral is "partial 16S ribosomal RNA". It matches the Rfam family "Bacterial small subunit ribosomal RNA", at positions 28 to 526 of the family's 1533-position model. The record is from RNAcentral.
GACGAACGCUGGCGGCGUGCUUAACACAUGCAAGUCGAACGAAGUGGCGAACGGGUGAGUAACGCGUAAUCAACCUGCCCUUCAGAGGGGGACAACAGUUGGAAACGACUGCUAAUACCGCAUACUGAAGGAGGGGAUUGCGUCGGAUUAGCUAGUUGGAGGGGUAACGGCCCACCAAGGCGAUGAUCAGUAGGCGGUCCUAGAGGAGGGACGGCCACAUUGGGGAUGGAGAACGGCCCAGACCCCUACGGGAGGCAGCAGGGGGGAAACUUCCGCAAUGGGAGAAAGUCUGACGGAGCAACGCCGGGGGAGUGAUGACGGCCUUCGGGGUGUAAAGGUCUGUUAAUCGGGACGCGGUACCGGAAUAGAAAGCCACGGCUAACUACGUGCCAGCAGCCGCGGUAAUAC